GAGUAACACGUGGGUGAUCUGCCCUGCACUUUGGGAUAAGCCUGGGAAACUGGGUCUAAUACCGAAUACACCUCGUGGGUUGCAUGACCUGUGGGGGAAAGCUUUUGCGGUGUGGGAUGGGCCCGCGGCCUAUCAGCUGGUUGGUGAGGUUAUGGCUCACCAAGGCGACGACGGGUAGCCGGCCUGAGAGGGUGUCCGGCCACACUGGGACUGAGAUACGGCCCAGACUCCUACGGGAGGCAGCAGUGGGGAAUAUUGCACAAUGGGCGCAAGCCUGAUGCAGCGACGCCGCGUGAGGGAUGACGGCCUUCGGGUUGUAAACCUCUUUCGCCAGGGACGAAGCGCAAGUGACGGUACCUGGAGAAGAAGCACCGGCCAACUACGUGCCA
Molecule: ribosomal RNA, 389 nt
Filed under: Mycolicibacterium pyrenivorans
Lineage: Bacteria; Bacillati; Actinomycetota; Actinomycetes; Mycobacteriales; Mycobacteriaceae
Description: bacterial SSU rRNA
Rfam family: Bacterial small subunit ribosomal RNA
Source: RNAcentral